Molecule: transfer RNA, 73 nt
Filed under: Candidatus Parcubacteria bacterium
Lineage: Bacteria; Candidatus Parcubacteria
Description: tRNA-Phe
Rfam family: tRNA
About the family: Transfer RNA (tRNA) molecules are approximately 80 nucleotides in length. Their secondary structure includes four short double-helical elements and three loops (D, anti-codon, and T loops). Further hydrogen bonds mediate the characteristic L-shaped molecular structure. tRNAs have two regions of fundamental functional importance: the anti-codon, which is responsible for specific mRNA codon recognition, and the 3' end, to which the tRNAs corresponding amino acid is attached (by aminoacyl-tRNA synthetases). tRNAs cope with the degeneracy of the genetic code in two manners: having more than one tRNA (with a specific anti-codon) for a particular amino acid; and 'wobble' base-pairing, i.e. permitting non-standard base-pairing at the 3rd anti-codon position.
Source: RNAcentral
GCCGCGGUAGCCAAGGUGGUCACGGCGAACGACUGAAACUCGUUUUAUCUCGGUUCGACUCCGAGCCGCGGCA